This 496-nucleotide ribosomal RNA is filed under the name Caecum sp. 'invisibile'. RNAcentral's name for it is "partial large subunit ribosomal RNA". It matches the Rfam family "Bacterial large subunit ribosomal RNA", at positions 1816 to 2597 of the family's 2925-position model. The record is from RNAcentral. Lineage: Eukaryota; Metazoa; Mollusca; Gastropoda; Littorinimorpha; Caecidae.
AGCCCCCGGAUAUAUGUAUUAUCUCGAUCGGGGGUGAGACCUGCCCAGUGAGUAAAUCUUUAACGGCUGCAGUAUCCUGACUGUACUAAGGUAGCAUAAUCAUUUGGCCUUUAAUUGGGGUCUGGUAUGAAAGGUUACACGGGAAGAGACUGUCUCUAAACUAAUACAUAGAAUUUAACCUAGGGGUGCAGAGGCCCCUUUUGCUCAAAAGGACGAGAAGACCCCAUAGAGCUUUAAAACUUUAUUAGUAAAAGUAAUAGUAGUUUUUUUGGUUGGGGCGACCCGGGAAACAGAAGUAACUUCCCGAUUAAAAAUCAAGCAAAGAGGAGCCAUUACUAAUAAUGAUCUUUUGAGCUAAAGCUACCUUGGGGAUAACAGCAUAAUGCUUAUUUAGAGACCUUAUCAAAAUAAGCGCUUAUGACCUCGAUGUUGGACUAGAGUCUCUCCCAAGAUGCAGAAGUUUUUGUGUGUUAGCCUGUUCGGCUAUUAAAACUCU